RNAcentral lists this ribosomal RNA (395 nucleotides) under uncultured bacterium. Its description in RNAcentral is "partial 16S ribosomal RNA". It matches the Rfam family "Bacterial small subunit ribosomal RNA", at positions 523 to 918 of the family's 1533-position model. The record is from RNAcentral.
AUACGGAGGAUGCAAGCGUUAUCCGGAUUUAUUGGGUUUAAAGGGUGCGUUGGCGGAUGAUUAAGCGUGAGGUGAAAUGCCACUGCUCAACAGUGGAACUGCCUCGCGAACUGGUUGUCUUGAAUGCUCCUGCCGUGGGAGGAAUGUGUGGUGUAGCGGUGAAAUGCAUAGAGAUCACACAGAACACCGAUUGCGAAGGCAUCUCACGAAGGGGUGAUUGACGCUGAGGCACGAAAGCGUGGGGAUCAAACAGGAUUAGAUACCCUGGUAGUCCACGCAGUAAACGAUGUAUGCUGGGUGUGAGACUAGCGAUAGUUUCGUGCCGAAGUUAACGCGAUAAGCAUACCGCCUGGGGAGUACGGUCGCAAGAUUGAAACUCAAAUGAAUUGGCGGGG